This 200-nucleotide ribosomal RNA is filed under the name uncultured bacterium. RNAcentral's name for it is "partial 16S ribosomal RNA". It matches the Rfam family "Bacterial small subunit ribosomal RNA", at positions 28 to 257 of the family's 1533-position model. The record is from RNAcentral.
GACGAACGCUGGCGGCAGGCCUAACACAUGCAAGUCGAACGAACUCUUCGGAUUAGUGGCGGACGGGUGAGUAACACGUGGGAACGUGCCUUUAGGUUCGGAAUAACUCAGGGAAACUUGUGCUAAUACCGAAUGUGCCCUUCGGGGGAAAGAUUUAUCGCCAUUAGAGCGGCCCGCGUUAGAUUAGCUAGUUGGUGGGG